UAUUGCGCAAACUAGAGAAUAUGUAAUAUGUAAAAUAGAGUAUGUAAGUAAUAACUAUACUUACUAAAACUAGUGAAACUUGUUUCUUGAUGACGUUUUUAAAGCCUACGCUAGAAGAAUAACCCAAAGGAUCAAUUUACUGCACUAAUCUUAUAUAUUAAGAUUGGAGUUUGCCACUACUAUCGGUCAACUAAAGAAAAUACAUUCGUUCCAAAAAGCUUGCAGUAAUAAAAAACGGAAUCAAUAUGGAUAAAAACUCAAAAUCUAUUAAAAGUGCUGGUGCUUCUUUAAGAAAAAUGGGAGAUAGUUUACAAAAGAAAUACGAAACCAAGAAGAAAUAUUCCUCAACAUCUUCUUCGUCAUCUUCAUCAUCAUACAAAAACAAGACAAGCUACAGUAGUACCAGUAAAACGAAAAAAAAUGGAAAGUAGAUGACAUUUGCUGGAAGUUGAUGUUUCUCAUAAGCAAAGUUGCUGAAAACGAUCUUUAUGAGGAUGUUAAAAAAAUGACUGCUGAAAUAACAACGAGCAUGUUUCAAUUUCAUCAAGACGUGCACAGACAUCCCUUGUUUUGAACGAUUAUAAUUAAAAAUGACAAUUAGAAUGAAAAAGACAUUCUGGCGAGAUUGCCAACUUAUUGUGAUUUUUAUGUUGUACAAAUUGUAUGUUUUAUGAUUUAAAUGUGUUUCUGCACAUUACAGGUUCGAAAGUUAUUUUAUAUAAAAAUCUUAAUUAACUUUCAAUAAA
Long non-coding RNA from Hydractinia symbiolongicarpus, 746 nucleotides. RefSeq lists it as uncharacterized. The transcript is spliced from 2 exons. Lineage: Eukaryota; Metazoa; Cnidaria; Hydrozoa; Anthoathecata; Hydractiniidae. The record is from RefSeq and is a predicted model, not a curated record.